UUCCAGCAGGAUCACACAGACC
Molecule: non-coding RNA, 22 nt
Filed under: Rattus norvegicus (Norway rat)
Lineage: Eukaryota; Metazoa; Chordata; Mammalia; Rodentia; Muridae
Source: RNAcentral